UACGAAGGGGGCUAGCGUUGCUCGGAAUUACUGGGCGUAAAGCGCACGUAGGCGGCUUUCUAAGUCGGGGGUGAAAUCCUGGAGCUCAACUCCAGAACUGCCUUCGAUACUGGAAAGCUCGAGUCCGGGAGAGGUGAGUGGAACUGCGAGUGUAGAGGUGAAAUUCGUAGAUAUUCGCAAGAACACCAGUGGCGAAGGCGGCAUCCUGGACCGAGAUUGACGCUGAGGAGCGAAAGCUAGGGGAGCAAACGGG
This 253-nucleotide ribosomal RNA is filed under the name uncultured bacterium. Its description in RNAcentral is "partial 16S ribosomal RNA". It matches the Rfam family "Bacterial small subunit ribosomal RNA", at positions 524 to 776 of the family's 1533-position model. The record is from RNAcentral.